GCACUGUUUAUUGUACCUCUCUCGACCCUAAGGACACCAAAAGCACGCAGGUUACCUUGUGAUUUGAAGAAACCUCGUUUGCGCGGUUCGGUAGAUGUCGCUGGAGCCAGGAUGGCGAAAAGUGCGGCAGACGAAGCACGGGUGACACACAGGUGAGUGGCAGUGGGAGCGAGGAGACGUCGUCCUGCACAGCGAACGCACUGGACACAAAGAAACGCGUGUUACGAACACUAACACUAAAGGAUAAGCUCCUGUACGCUAAAGCACGGCGUAGCCGAGGGUUCUGAUACAACCUGACGUCGAAUGACAGAGGACCGGGCUCUCUAUACUGCAGGCCGAUAACUAAUGGAUUGUAGGUUUGCCGGAAUGUCAGUGCUUCCGAGCUGCUCAUCCCCAUCGUAAUGACCUCCUCAGGGACCUGGAGAUGCUGUCUGCAAUGCCUUGGCUGUUUGCUGAAGGACUUUGCCACUUCUUGUGAAACAAUAAAGAGUGGCGACGGAGCGUGGUGCCGACUGUCCUCUUGUUAAAAGCUCUGAUGGCAGAGUGCAUACAAAACCCUCACAUAGAGAUGAAAAGAACAGUAACUUGCAGGGUGAAGCCCUCUCUCUUGGAACAAUGAUGGGGUAGGAUGGAGAGCAAAAAGUGUCUGUGAUAGAAAUUCUCCUUGACAGUUACCGAUGUCAGGCUAUGAAAUAUGUCCUCUGAAUAAAAAUAUGAAGCACAUUACAAUAAAGGAGCAAGCUAAAA
Molecule: long non-coding RNA, 747 nt
Organism: Lates calcarifer (barramundi perch)
Lineage: Eukaryota; Metazoa; Chordata; Actinopteri; Centropomidae
Exons: 2
Source: RefSeq, a predicted model, not a curated record